This 763-nucleotide long non-coding RNA is filed under the name Androctonus crassicauda. Lineage: Eukaryota; Metazoa; Arthropoda; Arachnida; Scorpiones; Buthidae. The record is from RNAcentral.
GCUGAUUCACACGGGCGACAAUUGUCGCUCGACAGUGCGCUCCAGCGACAGGACAUGAUUGUCGUCGGCGUCACUCGCCGCCGAACCAGUUCACAUAGGCGCCGACGACAACCAAUCAGCAAUCGCUCUAGAGCGCAUCACAAAUUGCGAAACGAAAGUUGACAUAAGAUCGUCCCUGUCACAGAUAGGUAACUAAUCUGUGGUCCCUGUUGGAUAUUAUUUUCAAAGAAAUGGACAGACAAAUCAAAUUAAGAAAACUUCGCUUGUUACACCAAAUGAAUUUGGCUGUGACAUCCGAUGAAAUUUCCAUCGAAUUUUACACUCGGUUUACUAAAAAAAAUUGAAAUACUGAAUAGCAAUGAAGUAAAGUUCAACUUGGACUUGAAAUUUCACUUCAAUUUUACCUUUCCUUCCACACACAAUCGCUAUUUCUUCCCAUGCUGAUUCCUUUUUUAAUUUGUCUCGAUACAAUUUUGAUGUCUCAUCAUACAAAAAUCUUCUUUUCCUCACUCCUUCAAUCAGCACUUCAAACGAAUCGGCCAUGUAUGAACACACGUGACUGCAACCAGCGUGUGAUUGGUUGCCGCUGUCUGUCGUUGCCGCUCAAGUAUAGCACGGUCAAACUCGGACGCCAAAUACAACGACAGGGGGUUUUUGAAAUAACUGGAACAGCCGCCGACAAAAUUUGAUCUUGGUGCGCACUGUUGAGUGACAAUUGCCGCCCAUGUGAAUCAGCCUUUAGGCAUAACCAAUAUUGCCUAAA